This 429-nucleotide ribosomal RNA is filed under the name Gemmatimonadota bacterium. RNAcentral's name for it is "Gemmatimonadetes bacterium partial 16S ribosomal RNA". It matches the Rfam family "Bacterial small subunit ribosomal RNA", at positions 355 to 776 of the family's 1533-position model. Lineage: Bacteria; Pseudomonadati; Gemmatimonadota. The record is from RNAcentral.
UAGGGAAUCUUCGGCAAUGGACGAAAGUCUGACCGAGCAACGCCGCGUGAGUGAAGAAGGUUUUCGGAUCGUAAAACUCUGUUGUUAGAGAAGAACAAGGACGUUAGUAACUGAACGUCCCCUGACGGUAUCUAACCAGAAAGCCACGGCUAACUACGUGCCAGCAGCCGCGGUAAUACGUAGGUGGCAAGCGUUGUCCGGAUUUAUUGGGCGUAAAGCGAGCGCAGGCGGUUUCUUAAGUCUGAAGUGAAAGCCCCCGGCUCAACCGGGGAGGGUCGUUGGAAACUGGGAGAAUUGAGUGAAGAAGGGGAGGGUGGAAUUCCAUGUGUAGCGGUGAAAUGCGUAGAUAUAUGGAAGAACACCAGUGGCGAAGGCGGCUGACUGGUCUGUAACUGACACUGAGGCUCGAAAGCGUGGGGAGCAAACAGG